UCAGUGCUUUGCAAUAAAAAUUCCCACUUUCUUCCACUACACCCGGUGUCAGAGAUUGGCUUGCUGCAUGACGGGUGAGUGAACUCACUUCAGGUUUGAUAUCAAGUGGAUGAACGUAAUU
This is a non-coding RNA of Ceratotherium simum simum (southern white rhinoceros), 121 nucleotides long. The record is from RefSeq and is a predicted model, not a curated record. NCBI's taxonomy places the organism in Eukaryota, Metazoa, Chordata, Mammalia, Perissodactyla, Rhinocerotidae.